Non-coding RNA from Malassezia yamatoensis, 91 nucleotides. The record is from the annotation of a GenBank genome assembly. Lineage: Eukaryota; Fungi; Basidiomycota; Malasseziomycetes; Malasseziales; Malasseziaceae.
GGGCGCAUGGUCUAGAGGUAUGAUUCUUCUUUAGGGUUAGAUUCGUCUACGAACAUAGAAGAGGUCCUGGGUUCGAUUCCCAGUGCGCCCC